Molecule: ribosomal RNA, 459 nt
Filed under: Brachyrhaphis hartwegi
Lineage: Eukaryota; Metazoa; Chordata; Actinopteri; Cyprinodontiformes; Poeciliidae
Description: partial 12S ribosomal RNA
Rfam family: Bacterial small subunit ribosomal RNA
Source: RNAcentral
GGGAACUACGAGCAUAAGCUUAAAACCCAAAGGACUUGGCGGUGCUUUAGACCCCCCUAGAGGAGCCUGUUCUAGAACCGAUAAUCCCCGUUCAACCUCACCUUUUCUUGCCCGUCCCGCCUAUAUACCGCCGUCGUCAGCAUACCCUGUGAAGGAGCCAUAGUUAGCAAAACCGGUAGAACCCAAAACGUCAGGUCGAGGUGUAGCAUAUGAAAAGGGAAGAAAUGGGCUACAUUUCCUACCCUAGGAAAUACGAAUUGUACCGUGAAAUAGUACAUAAAGGAGGAUUUAGUAGUAAGCAGAAAACAGAGUGUUCCGCUGAACCCGGCCCUGAAGCGCGCACACACCGCCCGUCACUCUCCCCAAACCUAAAAACACCUAUACUUUAAAAAACUACUGGGGCAAAGGGGAGGCAAGUCGUAACAUGGUAAGUGUACUGGAAAGUGCACUUGGGAAAAC